GCGGGUUCCCAGCCGCCCUCCCUGCCAGCCCCGGGCCCUGCCAGUCGUAGGGUGAGAUGUGCCGGGGCCCCUCCCUGAAGCCCCUCCUGACCUGGUCUGCCCCCUCUUCUCCCUCCCGCUGCACCCUGCCUCUCGCCCGCGCCCCUGCCACUCGCCCCGCAGCCAGAAAAGCAGCAGACGCCCAACAAGCGGCCCUGGGAGAGCCUCCGGAAGGCCCACGGGACGCCCGCCUGGGUGAAGAAGGAGCUGGAGCCACUGCCGCCGUCGCCCCUGGAGCUGCGGAGCGUGGAGUGGGAGAAAGCCGGAGCCACCAUCCCGCUGGUGGGCCAGGACAUCAUCGACCUCCAGACGGAGGUCUGAGUGGGCGGGCGGCGGCCCGCACUGGGCCAGGAGGAGGGAUCUGCUCUGCCCGCUCCGGCCACAGGACGGGCACAGGCACGCUCACGCGCAGGCCAGGCCUGCACCCCGGCCUCAGGGCACAGACGGCCAGGCAGAGGGCCCGCGCUGGGACCAGAGCCAGACGCAGGACAGGAGGUGGCGCAGCCCGGCAGGCACAGGGCUCCAGAGGCCCAAAGGUGCCUCAGACUCUGCCCUUCUAGGGCGAGCCCCAGCGGGCGGGGGGCUGUGGACAGCGGACAGGCCUGGAUGGGCCAGUGUCCCCAGGAUGCCCACCUGAGACUCCGCUGCAGAGGACCAGCCCGUGUGGCCCGCUGGCCUGGCUCCAUUUUUUAGACAUCCCCCACCCCUGGGGAAGCAGCCAGACCCCCACUCCCUUCCAGGGCCCUGGGCCCCUCUCAGACCCAGGCAGAGAGCACAGCCCUGACCCGAGGCCCCCAGGGGCAGGACUAAGCCCACUUUGGGAAGACACAGGGUGGGGAAUCU
RNAcentral lists this long non-coding RNA (882 nucleotides) under Marmota monax (woodchuck). The record is from RNAcentral. Lineage: Eukaryota; Metazoa; Chordata; Mammalia; Rodentia; Sciuridae.